Molecule: ribosomal RNA, 540 nt
Filed under: uncultured bacterium
Lineage: Bacteria
Description: bacterial SSU rRNA
Rfam family: Bacterial small subunit ribosomal RNA
Source: RNAcentral
AGUCAAUAGAUACCCGGGUAGUCCAUGCCGUAAACGAUGAUUGCUAGGUGUGGGGGGUCUGACCCUCCGUGCCGGAGUUAAACACAAAUAAGCAAUCCACCUGGGGAGUACGGCCGCAAGGUUGAAACUCAAAGGAAUUGACGGGGGCCCGGCACAAGCAGUGGAGUAUGUGGUUUAAUUCGAAGCAACGCGAAGAACCUUACCAGGUCUUGACAUCCACCGAAUCCUGUAGAGAUACGGGAGUGCCCUUCGGGGAACGGUGAGACAGGUGGUGCAUGGUUGUCGUCAGCUCGUGUCGUGAGAUGUUGGGUUAAGUCCCGCAACGAGCGCAACCCUUGUGAAUAGUUGCUACGAAAGAGCACUCUAUUCAGACCGCCGUUGACAAAACGGAGGAAGGUGGGGAUGACGUCAAAUCAUCAUGCCCCUUAUGACCUGGGCUACACACGUACUACAAUGGCCGGUUAACAGAGGGAUGCAAUGCCGCGAGGUGGAGCGAAACCCCGUAAAAACCGGUCUCAGUUCAGAUUGCAGGCUGAAACU